GGGGGCGUGGUGGAAUGGUAGACACAACGGACUUAAAAUCCGUUGACUCCCGAGUCGUGAGGGUUCAAGUCCCUCCGCCCCCA
Molecule: transfer RNA, 83 nt
Filed under: Eustigmatophyceae sp. Chic 10/23 P-6w
Lineage: Eukaryota; Eustigmatophyceae
Also listed under: 1 other name
Description: tRNA-Leu
Rfam family: tRNA
About the family: Transfer RNA (tRNA) molecules are approximately 80 nucleotides in length. Their secondary structure includes four short double-helical elements and three loops (D, anti-codon, and T loops). Further hydrogen bonds mediate the characteristic L-shaped molecular structure. tRNAs have two regions of fundamental functional importance: the anti-codon, which is responsible for specific mRNA codon recognition, and the 3' end, to which the tRNAs corresponding amino acid is attached (by aminoacyl-tRNA synthetases). tRNAs cope with the degeneracy of the genetic code in two manners: having more than one tRNA (with a specific anti-codon) for a particular amino acid; and 'wobble' base-pairing, i.e. permitting non-standard base-pairing at the 3rd anti-codon position.
Source: RNAcentral